This 468-nucleotide ribosomal RNA is filed under the name uncultured bacterium. RNAcentral's name for it is "partial 16S ribosomal RNA". It matches the Rfam family "Bacterial small subunit ribosomal RNA", at positions 28 to 507 of the family's 1533-position model. The record is from RNAcentral.
GACGAACGCUGGCGGCGUGCUUAACACAUGCAAGUCGAACGGAAAGGCCCUGCUUUUGUGGGGUGCUCGAGUGGCGAACGGGUGCGUAACACGUGAGUAACCUGCCCUUGACUUUGGGAUAACUUCAGGAAACUGGGGCUAAUACCGGAUAGGAGCUGCUGCUGCAUGGUGGGGGUUGGAAAGUUUCGGCGGUUGGGGAUGGAUUCGCGGCUUAUCAGCUUGUUGGUGGGGUAGUGGCUUACCAAGGCUUUGACGGGUAGCCGGCCUGAGAGGGUGACCGGCCACAUUGGGACUGAGAUACGGACCAGACUGCUACGGGAGGCAGCAGUGGGGAAUAUUGCACAAUGGGCGGAAGCCUGAUGCAGCAACGCCGCGUGCGGGAUGACGGCCUUCGGGUUGUAAACCGCUUUCGCCUGUGACGAAGCGUGAGUGACGGUAAUGGGUAAAGAAGCACCGGCUAACUACGUG